Molecule: ribosomal RNA, 253 nt
Filed under: uncultured bacterium
Lineage: Bacteria
Also listed under: 1 other name
Description: partial 16S ribosomal RNA
Rfam family: Bacterial small subunit ribosomal RNA
Source: RNAcentral
UACGUAGGUGGCAAGCGUUGUCCGGAAUUAUUGGGCGUAAAGGGCUCGCAGGCGGUUUCUUAAGUCUGAUGUGAAAGCCCCCGGCUCAACCGGGGAGGGUCAUUGGAAACUGGGGAACUUGAGUGCAGAAGAGGAGAGUGGAAUUCCACGUGUAGCGGUGAAAUGCGUAGAGAUGUGGAGGAACACCAGUGGCGAAGGCGACUCUCUGGUCUGUAACUGACGCUGAGGAGCGAAAGCGUGGGGAGCGAACAGG